GGUUAAGCGACUAAGCGUACACGGUGGAUGCCCUGGCAGUCAGAGGCGAUGAAGGACGUGCUAAUCUGCGAUAAGCGUCGGUGAGGUGAUAUGAACCGUUAUAACCGGCGAUUUCCGAAUGGGGAAACCCAGUGUGUUUCGACACACUAUCAUUAACUGAAUCCAUAGGUUAAUGAGGCGAACCGGGGGAACUGAAACAUCUAAGUACCCCGAGGAAAAGAAAUCAACCGAGAUUCCCCCAGUAGCGGCGAGCGAACGGGGAGGAGCCCAGAGCCUGAAUCAGUGUGUGUGUUAGUGGAAGCGUCUGGAAAGGCGCGCGAUACAGGGUGACAGCCCCGUACACAAAAAUGCACAUAUUGUGAGCUCGAUGAGUAGGGCGGGACACGUGGUAUCCUGUCUGAAUAUGGGGGGACCAUCCUCCAAGGCUAAAUACUCCUGACUGACCGAUAGUGAACCAGUACCGUGAGGGAAAGGCGAAAAGAACCCCGGCGAGGGGAGUGAAAAAGAACCUGAAACCGUGUACGUACAAGCAGUGGGAGCCUCUUAAUGGGGUGACUGCGUACCUUUUGUAUAAUGGGUCAGCGACUUAUAUUCUGUAGCAAGGUUAACCGAAUAGGGGAGCCGAAGGGAAACCGAGUCUUAACUGGGCGUUAAGUUGCAGGGUAUAGACCCGAAACCCGGUGAUCUAGCCAUGGGCAGGUUGAAGGUUGGGUAACACUAACUGGAGGACCGAACCGACUAAUGUUGAAAAAUUAGCGGAUGACUUGUGGCUGGGGGUGAAAGGCCAAUCAAACCGGGAGAUAGCUGGUUCUCCCCGAAAGCUAUUUAGGUAGCGCCUCGUGAAUUCAUCUCCGGGGGUAGAGCACUGUUUCGGCAAGGGGGUCAUCCCGACUUACCAACCCGAUGCAAACUGCGAAUACCGGAGAAUGUUAUCACGGGAGACACACGGCGGGUGCUAACGUCCGUCGUGAAGAGGGAAACAACCCAGACCGCCAGCUAAGGUCCCAAAGUCAUGGUUAAGUGGGAAACGAUGUGGGAAGGCCCAGACAGCCAGGAUGUUGGCUUAGAAGCAGCCAUCAUUUAAAGAAAGCGUAAUAGCUCACUGGUCGAGUCGGCCUGCGCGGAAGAUGUAACGGGGCUAAACCAUGCACCGAAGCUGCGGCAGCGACACUAUGUGUUGUUGGGUAGGGGAGCGUUCUGUAAGCCUGUGAAGGUGGCCUGUGAGGGUUGCUGGAGGUAUCAGAAGUGCGAAUGCUGACAUAAGUAACGAUAAAGCGGGUGAAAAGCCCGCUCGCCGGAAGACCAAGGGUUCCUGUCCAACGUUAAUCGGGGCAGGGUGAGUCGACCCCUAAGGCGAGGCCGAAAGGCGUAGUCGAUGGGAAACAGGUUAAUAUUCCUGUACUUGGUGUUACUGCGAAGGGGGGACGGAGAAGGCUAUGUUGGCCGGGCGACGGUUGUCCCGGUUUAAGCGUGUAGGCUGGUUUUCCAGGCAAAUCCGGAAAACCAAGGCUGAGGCGUGAUGACGAGGCACUACGGUGCUGAAGCGACAAAUGCCCUGCUUCCAGGAAAAGCCUCUAAGCAUCAGGUAACAUCAAAUCGUACCCCAAACCGACACAGGUGGUCAGGUAGAGAAUACCAAGGCGCUUGAGAGAACUCGGGUGAAGGAACUAGGCAAAAUGGUGCCGUAACUUCGGGAGAAGGCACGC
Molecule: ribosomal RNA, 1706 nt
Filed under: Escherichia coli
Lineage: Bacteria; Pseudomonadati; Pseudomonadota; Gammaproteobacteria; Enterobacterales; Enterobacteriaceae
Description: partial 23S ribosomal RNA
Rfam family: Bacterial large subunit ribosomal RNA
Source: RNAcentral